GAUAUGACAUUUUAUGCCUAUGUGUCUUGACCAAAUUACGUGCCAGCAGUCGCGGUAAUACGUAGAAGACUAGUGUUAUUCAUCUUUAAUUGGUUUAAAGGGUACCUAGACGGUAAAUCAAAGGACUAAUAUACUAGAGUUACAUGUGAGGGAGUUCUAAAGUACUGCUGGUGUAGAGAUGAAAUUCUGUCAUACAUAGGCGAAGGCAUCUCCUUAUGUGAUAACUGACGUUGAGGGACGAAGGCUUUUGUAGCGAACAGGAUUAGUUACCCCAGUAGUCCAAGCAGAAAAUGAUGAAUGUCAUAGAUUAGAUAAAAAGAUUUAUUCUAUAAAUGAAAGUGUAAGCAUUCCACCUCAAGAGUAAUUUGGCAACAUUGGAACUGAAAUCAUUAGACCGUUUCUGAAACCAGUAGUGAAGUAUGUUGUUUAAUUUGAUGAUCCGCAAAGAACCUUACCACAACUUGAAUAUUUAAAGCGUUGCACGGCUGUCUUCAGUUAAUGUCGUGAGACUUUGGUUAGUUCCAUUAAAUUAACGUAAACCCUUACUUUAUUUUUAUAUAAAGUGGUUCCCCGCUAUAUUGGAUAUGAUAACAGGGACUAAGACAAGUCA
Molecule: ribosomal RNA, 610 nt
Filed under: Neoprotoparmelia isidiata
Lineage: Eukaryota; Fungi; Ascomycota; Lecanoromycetes; Lecanorales; Parmeliaceae
Description: SSU rRNA
Rfam family: Bacterial small subunit ribosomal RNA
Source: RNAcentral